CAAAUCUCCAGAAUGUUUUCCCCUUUUCUGUAGUUUUUAUUCUCUUUUCCAUUUCCACUUGUGAUUUUUCUGAGCCCGAGGACAUUUUGGGAGGGAUAUAAAAGGAUCUAAAACCUAGACAAUAGAGCAAACGCCUGCUUUUGUUAAGUUGCUUUACCUGCCAUGUUAUUUGGUUUCCGGCUUUUAGCUAUGACUGCUGAGGGUGGAUUACAAAAGCACUAACUCAGAGGACCUUCUCACUUACACCAGGAGGCUCCAUCUCCCGGGAAGAGGGAGGCCAGACCAAUUUACACGGGAACCUGGCUUGAGUCUGAGUUCUGGGGUCAGGACCCUUAUCCUGCCCCACCUGGAGGCUUGCAGGACUGGAAGUACUUGCGGUUUGGGGCCACAACCUGGGGUGCGUGGUUUGGGGGUGGCGUUAGGCUAGAGGGGGAGGCUGGUCUGGUAAACUCCGUCAGCAGAGUUUGGAUUUGGACCCGAGGGCGAUGGGAAACCAGAUCCGAGCCUUAAACUAGGGGGUGACAGAUCAGAGCUAGGGUUUUAGAAGUUCUUCCAGGGGCUGGCCCCGUGGCCGAGUGGUUAAGUUCGCGCGCUCCGCUGCAGGCGGCCCAGUGUUUCGUUGGUUCGAAUCCUGGGCGUGGACAUGGCACUGCUCAUCAAACCACGUUGCGGCGGCAGCCCACAUGCCACAACUAGAAGGACCCACACGAAGAAUAUACAACUAUGUACUGGGGGGCUUUGGGGAGAAAAAGGAAAAAUAAAAUCUUUAAAAAAAAAAAAGAAGUUCUUCCAACUGUGCUUUGGAGAAGUUUGGGCAAGGCCAGCUGGGAGAUGGGACCAGGGUGGGGUUGGAGAGAAGUGGGUGAUUACGAGAGCUAUCCGAGGAGUGAUAGAGGGGUAUCUGUGAUGGCUCUGUUCCCGGCCCAGGCAACCAGGUGGAUGGAGAUGUCUCUCUUCAUCCUAAGCUGGUUUUGUGACUACCUUCGACAGUCACUGGCUCCUGCUCCAGGGCACCCGGCCCAGGGUAACUAGGUCUCCCCCGGGCCGAGAUGCACACGGAGCCAUGCUAGGGCCAGACCGGCCUUUGGGGCCCCUGCUUCCUCCUUGGGAGGAGGGGCUCCUAUAUCUAUGACAACCACACACCUCCUGCACGUUCCCUGGGCAUUUCCAUUUCAAAUACUCUGUCCUUUUGUUUGCACAGGUUCCUGUGUCAUAUUCGGGGUUCCCAUUUUUAAUUGGGAAAUAGACUGCACGUUAUUCUACCCACAGGCCUGGGUUGGGGCCAUGGAGCUCCGGUGACCAUGACCACUUCCCCAUGUGGGCAGCAGAAGUGGGGCAGCGGGGUGAGAAGGCGCGGGACUCAGGGCCAGAACAGCGGCUCCAGACAGCAGAGCAGCCUGCAUGCAGUGACUGUGAGUAUUGAAUCUCCUUGUUGGGGGGCGCAGGAGAGAAGCAGGUGCUCCCCGCGGGCUCUCUGCGUGGAGAGGCGGGAAGAGCACCAACCGGGUAGCCGGCCCUGCGGGAGAGCAGCGGGGAGCAGCGCAGGGAUUCUGAACUUUUCGGAGCUCAAGUUCCUCGCUUCAAAGUGGAAGGUAAGGACCCCUCUGCAGAGGUGUCUGAGCAUUAAUUGAGAUACGACGCGGAGAGCACGGCCAGGGCCGGCCGGCCGCUCAGCACGCGUUAGCUGCCGUCCCAUCAGGGUGCGCGACGAGGAAAGAGAGACGCGAUCCCAGACGUGCCCGAUUCCAGAAAAAACGUAAGGGCCCCGCCGCCCCUCGAAUCCUGGAGGGGAGCGCUGCUCCUCCCUGGGAGCGCAUCGCAGGGCGAGCUCAGGCUGUGAACGUCCGACGGGCACACUAGCCCUUUCCUGUAGAUAUCAUCCUACUUCCGUUUUUAGGACUUGCAGGAGAAGAAGAGCCCGCACCGGCCACCUUGGGGGUUCACGCUUUUAAGCAGGAAGCGCGCGCAGCACACAGUCCCUUUAAGGCGUUGGGCCUGCCCGAGGCAUUCUGCUCCUCGCCGCUCCCCGUAGCGCCCCUCCGAGAGGCCGGCUUUGUGCUUUCGCUCCGCCCCG
RNAcentral lists this long non-coding RNA (2074 nucleotides) under Equus caballus (horse). RNAcentral's name for it is "lncRNA (ENSECAG00000054380.1)". The record is from RNAcentral. Lineage: Eukaryota; Metazoa; Chordata; Mammalia; Perissodactyla; Equidae.